Seriola dumerili (greater amberjack) is the source of this 2925-nucleotide RNA transcript. It is a transcript of the gene named N(alpha)-acetyltransferase 30, NatC catalytic subunit, with no coding region annotated. The transcript has 5 exons. The record is from RefSeq and is a predicted model, not a curated record. NCBI's taxonomy places the organism in Eukaryota, Metazoa, Chordata, Actinopteri, Carangiformes, Carangidae.
GUUGAUUUAUAUGUAAAUUAAAUGACAGUACCUAAAAUGCGCGUGUCUGAAAAAACCUGUCUGUCAUGCGUUACACCACUGUCGUAAAACGUCUCUGUCUGCUGUUGCAAUGGCGUUUGCUGCGACAGCACUUUGCGGCAGCAGGGAAACCGAGGAGAAAGCAGCGACAAACGUCGCCAGCGGAUACGCUAUCGCCUCAAAAAUCCUCGGAUUUACGCAAUAUUCGGUGAACUAACUUGUAUAUUGUUUGUAUAUCCCUUCGCCUUGUGGAUGAGAUUGUAUUCGAAGUUUUUCAAGCGUGAAUCUCCACCUUAAUGCGGUGGGAUGGCCACAGUGCCGCCUGGGCCUAGUAGCGCACUGCCUGCAUCCCCGGCUGAAAUUCCUCCUUUCCCCGGGGCUGGAAGCGCGGAGCCGGCGGGGGGAGACGGAGAGCCGGUCUGCCACAGGGAGGACUGUGUACCCACCGCUACAGGGAAGACGUCUCAGCCGGUAAGCGAAGUGAAAAGGUCGGUGAAGAAGAAGCAGAAAAACAUGCUAACGCGAGCUAGCCCGGCGGCGUUGCACCUUAAAAUGCAAGCGCGAGAGCAGCAGCAGCUAAACGGCUUGGUCAGCCCCUCAGAGGACGCUAACAGCCACCAACACACAGGAAACCGACCUGACAAUCCGAGACCGUCCGUGGACAACUGUGACAGCAGCAGCAGCGGCAGCAGUGAGGGGGCUCCGGCCGCUAGAAACAAUAAUGAGCAUUGCCAACACGAAGGCCACAGCCCCUUCUCCAAAAACGGCAGUCACUCUCCCCUGGUUAACAAUAGCGUGAACGGGAUGCCGGGUUACACAAGAACUGAGGCGGCCCACAGCCACCUCGGGGACGAAGGGAAAGAGGAGUUUGACCACACGGAGCCGCCGAGACCGCCGAGCGACGAGCCGCCGGACGCUGCCGGGCCCGGCGAAGAGGACAACCCUGCUGACCCGGAGCAGCAGCAGCCGCCAGCCGCAGAGCUGGCCCGGCUCGACCUGAACAGCUCCCCGGGGCGAGCGGAAGAGGAGAGUCACGGCAUCCGAUAUGUCCGUUAUGAGUCGGAGCUGCAGAUGCCGUGGAUCAUGAGAUUGAUCACCAAGGACUUGUCUGAGCCUUAUUCAAUUUAUACGUACAGGUACUUCAUCCACAACUGGCCGCAGCUCUGCUUUCUGGCCAUGGUGGAACAGGAGUGUGUUGGAGCCAUCGUAUGUAAGCUUGACAUGCAUAAGAAGAUGUUCCGUCGUGGCUACAUUGCCAUGCUGGCCGUGGAUUCAAAACACAGAAGGAAAAGCAUCGGUACUAAUCUGGUGAAGAAGGCCAUUUAUGCCAUGGUGGAGGGUGACUGUGACGAGGUUGUAUUGGAGACUGAGAUCACCAACAAAUCAGCCCUGAAGCUGUACGAGAACUUGGGUUUUGUCAGAGACAAGCGACUGUUCAGAUACUACCUGAACGGAGUGGACGCGCUGCGGCUCAAACUGUGGCUCCGCUAAAGGAAAGAAGAGGGGACGGGGGAGGACGGGACAGCGGGUGCUGUUCACCUCCUACAAUAUCAGCUUGACAGCCUCAGCUCUGCCCUGCUGAGACAUUUCAUCCCAGGAGGCCAGGACUGGAAGGGAGAGUAGAUGUUUACAGAGUUGCCACCCACAUAACAGCCUGUGUAUGUAAGUUUGUGUCUGUGUGCAUUUGGAACAAUGGAUCAGAUGACCUAUUUUCUUUUUUCUUUUUCUUUUUCUUUUUUUUUCAGAUUUGUAUACGAGUGUUGUUCUAUUCAUGGGAUAUAUUGAGAGCAUGUUUUCUUUGGUGAAUCAUCUUUUGGGAAAGGGGGCGAUUUGGGUUGAUUUAUCGGAUUUGAGUUUUUAUUUUUAAUUUCUGUGCUACUUUAGCCCAUCCAGAAAUGUAACAAGACUGAUGAGCAUAUGAAAACCACCUAGACCUUGAACGCCAAUUAUUUCCUUUGCUGCUCAUCUUACACCAUUUAGGUUUCAGUUAUUACCCUGUUCAAACUCCUGAUUUAUUCUGGAGGUUUAAAUCUUCUGUUCCUGUCGACACUUGUUUCCACAUUCUUCUGUGUCCUCUCACUGUCCGGGCUUUUUCUUCUUUUACACUGACUACUGAUGGAUGAACAGUCUGGAUUUGUUACACGAUAACAAAUUAACCCAUUUUGUUCUUUCAGCAUGAAGGUGUUUUAGAUUUGGAAGGAAAAGGGUCUGUUAACUUCUUUUCGUUUAAAUCCUGUGAAACUCUGGCAGUUCCAUUAGGUAUAUGGGCAUUACAGCCUGCCACAAUGAGCCAAAGGGCUCCGUUUAGGUCAUCACAGACUGAAGGGCUUUGUCAUCAAUAUCAGUUUGUAGCCUUGGCUUGUGGUGCAUAGUUUUACCCAGCGCUCUCUGACAAUGUCUUCUCUGCAUCCGGAAUCAAUUUUGAUUUGACAUGCCAGUUCAGUGUUCACAGAUCGUCAGAAGCAUUUUUUUCCCUUCGCCCUGGACGUCCACCGUGUUAUCCAGGUUGCUCGUCCUAACAGUCCCAGCCCCACUUCUAUGUCCUCACACAAGGCCACAUCUGCUGUUCUACAUAUACAAUUAUAAAUUCCCCCAGAAACCAGAUUGUUGGUCAGAUAAUUAACAUUUGUAUUGGUAGUCAUACUGCACCACAAAUUGCUAUGGUCCCCACAACCAACCACAGGGGUUUCCUGCAGUCUUUUCAGGGUGGCCAGCACCACCUCCACCGCCAUCCAUGACGUGUGCAAAGGGGAGAGUAAAAGGUUUUUUUGCAUGUCGGAUUUCUGUUUCCCCUGUUCCUCUUCCCUGUCCCCUCUCUUGAUUUUGAUCUGGAAAUGUCCGAUAGCUUUUAUUUAAUGUGGAAAAAGAACACAGAAAUAAAUUAUUUGAUUUUUUUAAUGCUGUAAA